CGGGACGUCACCUGGGUGCUCGCGUCCUCCCCGCGCGGCGGACAGCCCGGGCGCCCUUCCUCUCUGCGGGACUGCAGGUCUAUCCGCUAAGCGCGCGUGACCAAAAACGGCUCUCAGCGGGUCCCAGCUGACGGAAGGUGGGGGAGGAGUGCGAGGGUCUCUGAGACAGGUUGGGAGCCAGCCCCACCUCCAUUUCCAAAGCGGGGGUCCAGGCACAGGAACAGCCAAACGCCCGAACCAGCGGGGUUACCUUUGCCACUUCAUCCAAUCCGAGCAUCGGCUGACAAGUUUAUUUAAUCCCUGAACCUGGAUCCAAGGCAUCUCCCUGUAGAAAACAUCAGACCGGGGCAGAGAUUGACAAAGCAACCCAAAGCAGCAGCUGCCAACGGCCGCUGUGCCCACCUCAUCAGCAGCUAAAGAGUAUAAUUUUAAAAAAAGUCACAGAAGAAUGUGGAGACACUUAGCAAAACGGACUCUCAUAAGGUUCCCUAUUUUGUCAGUAAGGAAGUAAACAACCGCUAAAACAACCCUCUAACAACAGAAGACCCUCAUGAGAACACCAGGCAGCAGAAGCUUCUUUAGCAGUAAAAGAUAUCUGGAUAUUCAUAUUUUGUUCCAUGAUCUUCAACAUUAAAUAAAUAAACUUAAUAUUCAAGUCUCCUUCUGCAUUCCUAGAAGAGGAUGUU
This 686-nucleotide long non-coding RNA is filed under the name Homo sapiens (human). RNAcentral describes it as "non-protein coding MCHR2-AS1:1". Lineage: Eukaryota; Metazoa; Chordata; Mammalia; Primates; Hominidae. The record is from RNAcentral.